This 1255-nucleotide ribosomal RNA is filed under the name uncultured bacterium. Its description in RNAcentral is "partial 16S ribosomal RNA". It matches the Rfam family "Bacterial small subunit ribosomal RNA", at positions 91 to 1378 of the family's 1533-position model. The record is from RNAcentral.
CUUAGUGGCGGACGGGUGAGUAACGCGUGAGCAAUCUGCCUUUCAGGGGGGGGAUAACGAUUGGAAACGAUCGCUAAUACCGCAUAACGUAUUUGGAUGGCAUCUUCUGAAUACCAAAGGAGCAAUCCGCUGAAAGAUGAGCUCGCGUCUGAUUAGAUAGUUGGUGAGGUAACGGCCCACCAAGUCGACGAUCAGUAGCCGGACUGAGAGGUUGAACGGCCACAUUGGGACUGAGACACGGCCCAGACUCCUACGGGAGGCAGCAGUGGGGAAUAUUGCGCAAUGGAGGAAACUCUGACGCAGUGACGCCGCGUAUAGGAAGAAGGUUUUCGGAUUGUAAACUAUUUUAGACAGGGAAGAAAAUGACAGUACCUGUAGAAUAAGCUCCGGCUAACUACGUGCCAGCAGCCGCGGUAAUACGUAGGGAGCAAGCGUUAUCCGGAUUUAUUGGGUGUAAAGGGUGCGUAGACGGGAAAGCAAGUUAGUUGUGAAAGCCCUCGGCUUAACUGAGGAACUGCAACUAAAACUAUUUUUCUUGAGUGCAGGAGAGGAAAGCGGAAUUCCUAGUGUAGCGGUGAAAUGCGUAGAUAUUAGAAAGAACACCAGUGGCGAAAGCGGUUUGCUGGGCUAUUACUGACGCUGAGACACGAAAGCGUGGGGAGCAAAUAGGAUUAGAUACCCUAGUAGUCCACGCUGUAAACGAUGAGUACUAAGUGUCGGGAAACCGGUGCUGAAGUUAACACAUUAAGUACUCCGCCUGAGUAGUACGGUCGCAAGGCUGAAACUUAAAGGAAUUGACGGGCACCCGCACAAGCGGUGGAGCAUGCUGUUUAAUUCGAAGAUACGCGAAGAACCUUACCUAGGUUUGGAUCCCGGGCAAAGCUAUAGAGAUAUAGUGGAGGUUACCCCGGUGACAGGUGGUGCAUGGUUGUCGUCAGCUCGUGUCGUGAGAUGUUCGGUUAAGUCCGAUAACGAGCGCAACCCUUAUCUUUAGUUGCUAACAUUUAGGUGAGAACUCUUAAGAUACUGCCAGUGUAAGCUGGAGGAAGGUGGGGAUGACGUCAAAUCAUCAUGCCUCUUACAUCUAGGGCUACAGGCGUGCUACAAUGGCCGAUACAACGAGUCGCAACACGGCGACGUGAAGCUAAUCUCUUAAAGUCGGUCCCAGUUCGGAUUGGAGUCAGCAACUCGACUCCAUGAAGUUGGAAUCGCUAGUAAUCCCGAAUCAGAAUGUCGGGGUGAAUACGUUCCCGGG